UAAAUGAGACCGAGGGGAUCGGAGGAAAGCUACUUACAGAGGAUCGAACAAGUUGUGGAGUCCACGGAGUCAUCAUGCAGGACAGAAGGUUUUGGGAGCCGGAUGCCGUUCUGCAGCUCGGAGGCGUUAAGCAGUCAUCUACUCGUUCCCACAAUCUCCUUCCACACAAACCCUUUACAGGCUGUCUCCGCAACGUCGUUCUUAAUAAGCAGGUGUAUGAUCUAGCAGCCCCACUGGAGGCAGUUAAUAGCUCCCCAGGCUGUGUGAGGAAGGGUACAGCUUGCUCAUCACC
This is a long non-coding RNA of Spea bombifrons (plains spadefoot toad), 292 nucleotides long. RefSeq lists it as uncharacterized. The record is from RefSeq and is a predicted model, not a curated record. The transcript has 3 exons. NCBI's taxonomy places the organism in Eukaryota, Metazoa, Chordata, Amphibia, Anura, Pelobatidae.